CGCCCUUCAGAGGGGGACAACAGUUGGAAACGACUGCUAAUACCGCAUACGAUCCAACCUCGGCAUCGAGGAUGGAUGAAAGGUGGCCUCUAUUUAUAAGCUAUCACUGAAGGAGGGGAUUGCGUCUGAUUAGCUAGUUGGAGGGGUAACGGCCCACCAAGGCAAUGAUCAGUAGCCGGUCUGAGAGGAUGAACGGCCACAUUGGGACUGAGACACGGCCCAG
This 223-nucleotide ribosomal RNA is filed under the name uncultured bacterium. Its description in RNAcentral is "partial 16S ribosomal RNA". It matches the Rfam family "Bacterial small subunit ribosomal RNA", at positions 127 to 334 of the family's 1533-position model. The record is from RNAcentral.